RNAcentral lists this ribosomal RNA (743 nucleotides) under uncultured bacterium. RNAcentral's name for it is "bacterial SSU rRNA". It matches the Rfam family "Bacterial small subunit ribosomal RNA", at positions 9 to 743 of the family's 1533-position model. The record is from RNAcentral.
GAGUUUGAUCCUGGCUCAGAGUGAACGCUGGCGGCAGGCCUAACACAUGCAAGUCGAACGGCAGCACAGCAGUAGCAAUACUGUGGGUGGCGAGUGGCGGACGGGUGAGGAAUACAUGGGAAUCUACCCUGUCGUGGGGGAUAACGUAGGGAAACUUACGCUAAUACCGCAUACGACCGAGAGGUGAAAGCGGCGGACCGCAAGGCGUCGCGCGAUUGGAUGAGCCCAUGUCGGAUUAGCUAGUUGGCGGGGUAACGGCCCACCAAGGCGACGAUGCGUAGCCGACCUGAGAGGGUGAACGGCCACACUGGGACUGAGACACGGCCCAGACUCCUACGGGAGGCAGCAGUAGGGAAUCUUCCACAAUGGGCGAAAGCCUGAUGGAGCAACGCCGCGUGAGUGAGGAAGGCCUUCGGGUCGUAAAGCUCUGUUGCCAGGGAAGAAUAAGGGCUAGUUAACUGCUAGUCCGAUGACGGUACCUGAGAAGAAAGCCCCGGCUAACUACGUGCCAGCAGCCGCGGUAAUACGUAGGGGGCAAGCGUUGUCCGGAAUUAUUGGGCGUAAAGCGCGCGCAGGCGGUUCUUUAAGUCUGGUGUCUAAGUGCGGGGCUCAACCCCGUGAUGCACUGGAAACUGGGGAACUUGAGUGCAGAAGAGGAGAGCGGAAUUCCACGUGUAGCGGUGAAAUGCGUAGAGAUGUGGAGGAACACCGGUGGCGAAGGCGGCCUUCUGGACGGAUACUGA